Non-coding RNA from Acanthosepion pharaonis, 106 nucleotides. The record is from the annotation of a GenBank genome assembly. Lineage: Eukaryota; Metazoa; Mollusca; Cephalopoda; Sepiida; Sepiidae.
UGGUCAUAUUCUGUUGAAACACCGGUUCAUGUACAAUCACUGAAGUUAAGCAGCAUUGAGCUUGGUCGGUACCUAAAUGAGUAACCACUUGGGAAUACCAUGUGCA